Molecule: long non-coding RNA, 1911 nt
Organism: Aegilops tauschii subsp. strangulata
Lineage: Eukaryota; Viridiplantae; Streptophyta; Magnoliopsida; Poales; Poaceae
Source: RefSeq, a predicted model, not a curated record
CCCACAAUCCCCGGCACCCGCACUGCAACUAUUCCCUGCCCGGUUCUUCCCCAGGCGACAGCCCGCCGAUGCCUCUCAUCCCCGCACUCGUCGGCAACCCCUGCCCCACAAGGUCCUCGGCGCCCCAUAGCCACCUCGCUCGCACCUCCCUGCCCUAUCUCUGGCCCCGCAACUGAUCCUCUGCUGCCCCACGUAGGCCGCGGCCCCCGCCGAUCCUCUUCUGCCGGACACGAGAGCAGGCCGCAGCCCCAGCCGUUCCUCCUCUGCUACUUCAGGUACGCCAGCGCCGAACAGACAGCACGGCCGCCGCUGCCGCCCGCCGCUCCUCAUCGUCUGCACCCAUGAAGUUGCUGCAAUUAAGGUGUCACUCCAGUAGGAGGGGCGCUAAGGAAGGCGCAUCAGGCACGUUGUUGCGGCGGCCGUGAAGGCCGGAGAAGAGGUGGAUGGGUUUCUCACAGUUUCUGUGGCUCGCGGUGUUCAUCCGACUCUCUAGAAUAACUAGAAAAUGAGUUCCCACAAUUCCUACAUCAAAGGUUGUAUCUUUCAGCACUUUGUUAUUGGGCGUGCCUACUUACUAAUUCUAUUUGAUAAGUCAACCUGGGAAACUGCGGAAUGGUGCUGAAUGAAGUUGUUAAUAUGAUUUCUUUUGUGUUUGCUACUGAUAUAUCUCUAAACUUGCAUUUCUCUGCUAUGUUUGUCUGUCAGAGCUGUUGCUCGAUAAGGCUGACGUGCACCAAUGUAAACUUCAGAUUGAGCUUACAACACGGUGAGGGUUUACCUUGAUUCUGCAUGAUGCCGGACUACCAACAUUUCAGAUUUCACUGCAAGCACAUAUUUUUCUCUGAACUUUGGAGCUGAAUCAAGAGUAACCACUGAGUAUUUCAGUUAUUUUCCGGCGAGUCAUACUACCUCAAUUAAACUGCCCCAGCAUCAUAUAUUUAGGAAUGGAGGUAGUACAUCAGACUUAAUGCAGAUCGACCAGCUGAAAGUUUAUUUUUAUGAUAUGUUUAUUACUUGGUGAUUCCAGCUGAUGUACAACAAAAAUUGUGUGAUCCAGCAUGAUGUUCUUCCUGUUCUACAGGUUCAUUCUAAUGAUUCUUAUUUGCGUUCGGUCACAGGAUUGUUCCCUCCAGCUGUUCGAUUUGCACAUGCGACAAUCGAAGUGUGCCUAUGUUUGGCUGCCCCGUUCACAGAUAUACAGGUUGAAUUCUUCGUUCUUUAUUAUAGGCCGGUUCAUGUGCUUUGACUUGUGAUCUGGGUCGGCGCAUCUAUUAUUUUCGGUCGCAAAUGUGCGCUAGCUCAUGCCUCUCUUGGGUGAUAUAAUCUUUUUGGGGUUUCUCAUAAACUGCAGUGUAUGUAUUAUGCAGAUGAACAAAACCAUUCAGGUUCCGCAUCCACCCAUCAGGUUCUCUAUUAUACUGCAGGAGGAAAUCCUUUCUUAUUGACCCUUCAAGCGGUAGUCUUUUAGAGGCAGCUUUUGUGCUUUUCCCUUCCGCUGGAACUGCAUGCAGAGUUUGAGUUCAUGGAGUGCCUUUGGCCUUCAGAAAGAAGAAGAAUAAAUGUUUCGUCGUUGAUCUUUCUUAUGUUUCUAGGUGCAUUGUUUUAGGUUAUGCCCUCAUAUGCAGAGAUGGAAAAUCACACAUUUUGCAUCCAGCUUUCAAUGGGAAUAAAUUGAAUUUUGUUUUGAAGCUUGCCGAUGAAUCAAGAAUAUAUCUCUGAAAGCUGCUUCUUUUUUGCAAAAAAAAAAAGAAGCUGAUUUAAGCAUCAUUGCAAUUCAAAACCUACACAGUAUUUAUUUCUGCAUUUAUUUGAAGAUGAGAAUAUACUGACUUCAAUAUCGAGUGUCGAUCCAUUGUUUUCUGCAGGUAAGUAUUAUUUUUUAUUUCCUAAAAAGGAUUUGAAUAUCAUUUU